AUUUGAAAAUAUAAAAUGACAUAUUUACAUAUAUACAUAUAUUUAUAUAAAUAACCCUAAAUUCUGGCAGUUAAAUACUUUUCCAUUUCAUAGGUCGUUUUAGGUGGAUAAAUCUGUGUGUGUUUUAGGGGUCUUGACCGUGCCUUGAGUGUAGAGGACGUGGGGCGGCCCAGUGGGGUGCGCCCGGUGGGACGCGUGGCUCAGGCCUUCCCUGACGGCACCAUCUUACUGGAGCUCUCCAGACCCCCCAACGGCCCCUUCGGCUUUGUCAUUGCACGAGGAAAAGGCAGGCCAGACUCAGGGGUGUACGUUGAAGAAAUGGGCGACAGCAAUAUGGAGAAACUCUACGCGGGGCUGCUCGGGGUCGGGGACGAGAUCUUAGAGGUGAACGGCGAGAAGGUGGCGGGACAUAGUCUGGACCUGGUGACCCGUUUAAUGACUCAAAACAGUACGGCUUCAAUCCGCGUACUACGACAUAGACGCCAACAGCGCUAACUGAAGACCAGACUGAGCCAGAAUGACUCCGAUGGCGUUUUGUUUCAAUCGAACACUGUGUUAAAGAGCGUCAGAAAUGAAGUCAGGGAUGAGUUUGUGUAAACGGCAGACCUUUGGUGUUUUUUCUUUUUUGGGCUGUUGAGCAAUGAUGGUGUGACGGUCCAUUUUAUAGGGAUGGUUACCCAAAAAUGAAGUGUUUUUUCAUGUAUUUUGUUCAUUUUUGGGGCGAACUCAUCCCUAAAGCGUCUGUUAUGGCUAAUUUACAG
Pimephales promelas (fathead minnow) is the source of this 761-nucleotide non-coding RNA. The record is from RefSeq and is a predicted model, not a curated record. Lineage: Eukaryota; Metazoa; Chordata; Actinopteri; Cypriniformes; Leuciscidae.